RNAcentral lists this ribosomal RNA (114 nucleotides) under uncultured bacterium. RNAcentral's name for it is "partial 16S ribosomal RNA". The record is from RNAcentral.
UGGGUAACCUGCCUCAAAGAGGGGUAAUAGCCUCCCGAAAGGGAGAUUAAUACCGCAUAAUAUGUUUAAGUCGCAUGACUUUAACAUCCAAAGGAUUUUUCUUUUAGAAAUUCC